RNAcentral lists this transfer RNA (74 nucleotides) under Synechococcaceae bacterium WB6_1A_059. Its description in RNAcentral is "tRNA-Gln". It matches the Rfam family "tRNA". Rfam says of the family: Transfer RNA (tRNA) molecules are approximately 80 nucleotides in length. Lineage: Bacteria; Bacillati; Cyanobacteriota; Cyanophyceae; Synechococcales; Synechococcaceae. The record is from RNAcentral.
UGGGGGUUAGUUAAAUGGUAUAACCACGGAUUUUGAUUCCGUCAUUAUAGGUUCGAUUCCUAUACCCUUUGCCA